AUACAGAAUGACUCUCGGCAACGGAUAUCUAGGCUCUUGCAUCGAUGAAGAACGUAGCGAAAUGCGAUACUUGGUGUGAAUUGCAGAAUCCCGUGAACCAUCGAGUCUUUGAACGCAAGUUGCGCCUGAAGCCAUUAGGCUGAGGGCACGUCUGCCUGGGCGUC
RNAcentral lists this ribosomal RNA (164 nucleotides) under Chesneya crassipes. RNAcentral's name for it is "5.8S ribosomal RNA". It matches the Rfam family "5.8S ribosomal RNA". Rfam says of the family: 5.8S ribosomal RNA (5.8S rRNA) is a component of the large subunit of the eukaryotic ribosome. It is transcribed by RNA polymerase I as part of the 45S precursor that also contains 18S and 28S rRNA. Functionally, it is thought that 5.8S rRNA may be involved in ribosome translocation. The record is from RNAcentral. Lineage: Eukaryota; Viridiplantae; Streptophyta; Magnoliopsida; Fabales; Fabaceae.